This 504-nucleotide ribosomal RNA is filed under the name uncultured bacterium. Its description in RNAcentral is "partial 16S ribosomal RNA". It matches the Rfam family "Bacterial small subunit ribosomal RNA", at positions 29 to 523 of the family's 1533-position model. The record is from RNAcentral.
AUUGAACGCUGGCGGCAGGCCUAACACAUGCAAGUCGAACGGUAGCACAGAGAGCUUGCUCUCGGGUGACGAGUGGCGGACGGGUGAGUAACGUCUGGGAAACUGCCUGAUGGAGGGGGAUAACUACUGGAAACGGUAGCUAAUACCGCAUAACGUCGCAAGACCAAAGUGGGGGACCUUCGGGCCUCACGCCAUCGGAUGUGCCCAGAUGGGAUUAGCUAGUAGGUGGGGUAACGGCUCACCUAGGCGACGAUCCCUAGCUGGUCUGAGAGGAUGACCAGCCACACUGGAACUGAGACACGGUCCAGACUCCUACGGGAGGCAGCAGUGGGGAAUAUUGCACAAUGGGCGCAAGCCUGAUGCAGCCAUGCCGCGUGUGUGAAGAGGGCCUUCGGGUUGUAAAGCACUUUCAGCGAGGAGGAAGGCGUGAAGGUUAAUAACCUUGACGAUUGACGUUACUCGCAGAAGAAGCACCGGCUAACUCCGUGCCAGCCGCCGCAGUAA